Notolabrus celidotus (New Zealand spotty) is the source of this 545-nucleotide long non-coding RNA. RefSeq lists it as uncharacterized. NCBI's taxonomy places the organism in Eukaryota, Metazoa, Chordata, Actinopteri, Labriformes, Labridae. The record is from RefSeq and is a predicted model, not a curated record. The transcript has 3 exons.
ACCUCACGAGCCAAUCAGAGUACACCAUUUACGUAAGGGGCGGGACUAGUGGUGCAGGUUAGUGUGGGGUGAAGGUGAACAUGCAGCAUGAGAGACGCAGACGCUAUCGAUCAGAGAGCUGAGACGGAGAUAAUCUGAGUUGGGAGCAGUUAAGUUAUAUCGUGAAGGUCGACUACUCGUGGUCCUGAUUUAAACUUCUGUGACCUGCAAGAGGACGGACGUUGGAGAGAGAGAGGUUGAGACGGGUUUUCCAACAGACAGCCCUGCUGUUUUUUCUUCUUCUUUGAACUUCGCUGUUGUGCGCCAUUGCCCUCAUGAGACUGCAUUGUUUGUCCCCACCUAUCCAUACUAAUCCAACUGGAAGUUUGUGAGUACUAACUGAACACUUGUGCACGUGCUUUUUAUUUUAAGCUCAGUUGAGUGAAGCGGCCAUCACCGUUUUUAGGCCACACCGCACCCAAGCUACAUUCAACAGGCCUGCAAUGGGUUAAGGUUUUGAAUACCAGGUUGUGCAAUGUUGUGUUUCAUGUGAGUGUGAGUGGGCC